Notolabrus celidotus (New Zealand spotty) is the source of this 136-nucleotide small nucleolar RNA. RefSeq annotates it as small nucleolar RNA SNORA84. The record is from RefSeq and is a predicted model, not a curated record. Lineage: Eukaryota; Metazoa; Chordata; Actinopteri; Labriformes; Labridae. The transcript has a single exon.
GCCUGGUGGUUCCCAGAGUCAGCUCCUAAGUGCUGAACUGUGGGUUUAUUGUAAACAGGCACACAUUAAUUCUGCGAUUCUAUGCAUGGAAGCUGCCAUCAUAGCAGCCUUCCAUAGCCCGGUUGCAGAUACAAUG